Molecule: long non-coding RNA, 2643 nt
Organism: Homo sapiens (human)
Lineage: Eukaryota; Metazoa; Chordata; Mammalia; Primates; Hominidae
Gene: SNHG17
Product: small nucleolar RNA host gene 17
Source: Ensembl
AGAUCAUGCCCCUGCACUCCAGCCUAGGCGACAGAGUGAGACUAUGUCCCUAACAAAAAACAAAAAACAGGAGCUGGAAAAAGACAACUGUGGCUGGUCGUGGUGGCUCACACCUGUAAUCCUAGCACUUUGGGAGACUGAGGUGGGUGGAUCGCUUGAGCCCAGGAGUUUAAGACCAACCUGGGCAAUAUGGCAAAAACCUGUCUACAACACACACACACUAGCCAGGUGUGGUGGCAUGCGCCAGGAGGUGGAGGUUGCAGUGAGCCGAGAUUGUGCUACUGCAUUCCAGCCUGGGCUGCAGAGCCAGACCUUGUCUUUAAACAACAACAACAAAAAAGACUUCAGUUGUAAGGUGACAGGGCUUAGCACAUUGAUGCAUGUCAGGGAAGUAGUUUUGAGCAAGGCAGCCUGUGUGGGGGUGGUCAGAGCUAUUUCCCACUGGCCCAGUGGUCAUCCCAUGGUGUUCUCUUUGACGGUCUUGUCCGUGGGCCACCAGGAUUAAUUUCCCCACAGGAUUGUCAUUGUGAUGUCAGCGACCAAAGCCAGAGGUAUAGCUAGGCAUGGCUGAUAGAAGAGUGAGAUGUGUAAUCAGCCCUGACCCGCAGAUGACAGAUGGGCCAUCCUGCCCAUCAUAGCCCUUACUGUGUAUGCUAGACUGCGCCACGCUGGUGUGCCACACCAGAACCUGUCCUAGGUUCAGAGUCCCCUUCAGUGUACUGCUUCAGGAUCACAAAUUCAACAAUAUGUGCAUAAGAUGAGACUUAAGCUGUCCCUGAUGACUGGUUCUUCUCUAGAUGAACUCUUCGUGUUGCUGAGACCGUAGACCACUGUUAACACUAGCCAACUUUUAGGAAAUGUUUACCACCUGGUGGCUUCUGUGCCAGUACUCUCCUUGUCCUUUCCAGAACGGGUUUGACCAGGUGAUGUCUAGAUAGCUCAUCCAGGGCUUCUUGAUUCUGGCAGAGGAGGCUGAUUGGUGCAGAGAGGCCCAUGAGAGGUAUCUCCACCCUGCCAGGAAGCAGGUGGACCAUGGUGUUCUAUGAGGUCUGUCCUCUGGAGAUCUGGGGCUUUGUGUCCCACAAGGGUGGGUGCAUGCAGGUUCCCUGGGCGUGAUGUCUGGGAAGUAGAGAGAGGUGAGGUAAGAGUGUCUUUGUGCUGGCCCCAGUUUUACCCUCUUUGGGGCCAUCAUGAAUACAUUGGGUUCCUCUUGUGCCUGCUUGGGUUUAGCAUCUUUAGGGAUCCCUUAUCAUUGUUGUGUCUUGGAAUAUCUGACUCAAAAGCUGGAGGGCUUUGGCAUCAAACCUACCUGUACCUUGGUCCCAAACGCUUUACCACUACUCCCUAGCUUUGGUUCUUUUUGUGAUCUUCAGUUUUCUCGUCUGGAAAACAGGAGUACGCUGAGGUGAUUUUUCUUAGGAUCACACCGUCCCUAUCUUCCACGUCCGAAGAAGUCUGCCAGCUUUCUCAUCUGGAGGGUCUUUCCUUUACUUCUCCUGGUUGGGGCAGGUUCCGUUUAUGUGGGACAAGAUGGAAGCUGCUUCAUCCUGUGCUCUGCUGUGCCACUGUCCUGGCUCAGGCCAUUUUUCAGGCUUCUGACGUUGGUCUCCAAUUUCAACAAGCCCUGGAUCUCUUUCUGCCCCUGUGUGCAAAGUGAUUACAGGCUGCUUGUGUCUUGGUUAUUGGUAAUAAAGGAAAAGUUACAAGGUUUUCCUCUUGUGUAGAGGCACCAUUGUCCAUUUCAGACGGGAUGACCUCAGGGGACUGUGUCAGUGACCAGGAUGGGCUAGACAAGCUGUCAGUACAUUCACCUCCUGAGACACUGAUUCCCCUGGUGUGUUUUCUGUGGGUGAAUAUCGUGGUUUCCUGGACUUGCCAUAAGCAGUGCCAAGUGCAUCAGUCACAUCUUGGCUUCUUGUGCCCUGCAGGAGUGUCACAUGACUGCCGCCCCAUGUGUGUGAGAGGCGUCCUCUGGGAGAGCAUGGAUCCUGAGGUCCCAGGAUUGUCAGCUGACCUCUGUCCUGUGUGCCCAGUGGCCCCAGGUGACGUGUCUUCAAGAAGAGGCUGAGCUGCGGUGCUUGUAAGAGUCAUGUGCUGUUCCUGGGGCUUGGAUGAUGUAGGGGAAGCAAGGUGAAAGUGGUAUCCCGUGGUUCCACGUUCUGUCCUGCUGUGGGGCUGUCCCUCACAUGCUUUCAGUGGCUGUUGCAGAGGAAGAGCCUCCGGAAAUCUGCGUGGGUAAAGUCUCAGCCUUAGAUCCAAGGACAGUCCAAGGAAGUCCUAAGACCAUGGAGUUGGUGAUCUGGGAUCUGGGUUUGCUGAUAUUUCUCACCGUGAAUCUCUUGGUGGUGUUUGUGGGCACGAGAGGGGCAGAGAAUGGAGAGUGAGGCUACCACAUGAAGCGUCACCAGAGCUGCUCCCUGCUGCCUGCUCAGAGCACCCCGGAUCCACUGUUCAAUCUGCACAAGAUUCGGGGUCCAGACAUGGGAGACUUCAGCUGCCUCAGAGGACCGUGGACAGGGAAGGCCAGCCUCGCAUCCCUCUGUCCAUGCCUGGAAUGACUUUAAUAACCAAGAGUUUUAUUUUUGAAUUUGUAGCUGUCGUUCACUUUUUACCCACCCAUUCAAUAAACCUUACAGAAUUGCU